GAGGUGGGCAGGUAAACUUGGGCGCUUCCGUUAGUGUAGGAGCAAUGGAAGAAGGUGGACAGCAGGCGCUGGCAGGAGAUGCUUGGUGUGUGGUAGUAUGUGGUCUGGAUACCCUCCUUAAACAUUGGUCAGUGCAGAUGAGCCCACGUUGCACGAUUGAUGAUGGCUGCGUACUAGGAAGGCACUGAUAGUGGCUGCAUACUAGGAAGAUGGUGCCAUGCUUCAGCCUGGGUGUUAAGGGGACGGAUGUUCCAUUAUGGUGUCUGAAUAAGCUUCAGACAUCAGUUAUCGCUGGUGAAGAUUGUACCUGGCUUGGGUGAUGCUGCACUACUACGAAGACGGAGUACAGCACGGCACACCUUGGAGGGUGGCUGCCUUCAGAACUGUGCAUAGUGGACAUUAUCAGUCAGCUGUGUUGCUGUUGACUGCAUGAGCCAUUUGUUAAGUACAAGACUCUCCCUGAUGACAUUUUAGGUUUUUGUAUAAAAAAAAAAUUUGAGUAAAAAUUUGAGUGGUU
Scylla paramamosain (green mud crab) is the source of this 517-nucleotide long non-coding RNA. RefSeq lists it as uncharacterized. The record is from RefSeq and is a predicted model, not a curated record. Lineage: Eukaryota; Metazoa; Arthropoda; Malacostraca; Decapoda; Portunidae. The transcript has 3 exons.